UGCGGAGGUGAAAUUUCCUCAUAGUGGGACUAAUAAGGGUCUCUUUAUCUUAAUAAUUGUUGUGGAUAAACAUGUGGAGGAGAUUAUAGCACUGGACAGUGAGGAUGAGAAUGAUGAGGGUGCGAAUUUCUACACAGAUCCAAGUCCUUUGAGUAAGUCUAAUUUAAAUGAUUUUUAUACUUUUCUACAUCUGUCUACAAAGUCCUAAUUGUAUGUUUCUCUUUUAGAUUUCAGUCAGGAUUCCUAUGAGCUUUACCAACCAACUUCUCCAAGACGUGAAAUAGAUCAAGACGAGGGUGCGAAUUUCUCGAAGUCCAUUGAAUUUCAGUCAGGAUUCCCACCAGGAACCAUUCUGGCAGGAAGAUGUCAAUGACAGUUAUAAUUUCCGAUAUCUCUCAAGGGCUGUCGAAUUGUCUCUACAAAAACUGAAACACGUUACUGCGCAUGGAUCAAGGCAUUUUUCUGCCUUUUCCAAGUUUAAAGAACACGUAAAUCUGUUUAUUAAUUAUUGUAAUAGAUGGUAAGAAUCAAAUGGCUCAGAAACGCCCUGGCAGUGAUCUUUUUAAUGAUGCUAAGAAGCCUAACAUCACCCCUUUUUCAAACACCCCAAAUCAGUUAGUGUCUGUACCGAAUCAUGAUUUAUCAAGUUUACAAAAUACUCUUAUCGAACACAACACGUCCACAACUGUGAAUCCUUUUCUAAUAAAUGCGGUGAACUGGCUUAA
Molecule: long non-coding RNA, 725 nt
Organism: Pygocentrus nattereri (red-bellied piranha)
Lineage: Eukaryota; Metazoa; Chordata; Actinopteri; Characiformes; Serrasalmidae
Exons: 3
Source: RefSeq, a predicted model, not a curated record